UGCCUCUGUCCCCAGGAGACCCUCGCAGUCCUCACUGUCAUAGCCACUGCCUGGGAGAGAGGCAGAGGGGUCCUGAUGACUUGAUGCCCCGCCGAGGCCACGGAGAGAGGAGGGGCAGGAGGCAGCUGUUGUGCCAAGAAAGAAGGGGUGUCGGCAGCCGAGAGAGCCCCCACCACGCCAAGAAGAAACAGGGUGCCAGCAGCGUGGGGAGCCCCCCCACACCAAGAAGAAAGGGGGUGCCGGCAGCCGGAGGAGCCCCCGCCACACCAAGUGUGCCCUGGGCCACCUGAAGAAAGGCAGGGCCUCGUUCCAGGGAGUCUCUGGUCACCCUCCUCCUCCUGCUGUCGGCGCUCGGAGCUCCCCAGCCUUGCUUCGCUCAUCUGAGCAAUGGGUUUCGGCACAGGGCUGGGGAGAGUCUGCUACCUGCCAGGAAGGGACCUGAAGGGACCUGAAGGGCCCUGGGGCAAGGCGGGCGCCUCGGCACUCACCACGGAGGCAGUCUGCAGGCCCGCAUAGACGCUCCUCUCCAGCUUGCUUCGCUUCUUCGCAGGCUCGCCCCCACUGCCUCCUCGCAGCUCCGCACACAGCAGACCCAGGCUUGUCCGCACCGCCCUGGGGGCAUGGGGUGGUGGGUGCAGGGCAGAUGCAGGCCCGGCCGCCCCAGCCUUGUCCCCCUACUGUCUCUGUAGUGGGUCACACUGUGGGUCACCCUCCUCCAAGGGCCCCACGUCUCGGGCAGACAGAGCAGGGGGUGAGGGGCCCCGGGGGCCGAGCCAGCUCUGACCUCCUCUGAGCACCUGCCUGCAGCCAGCCCCUCUGCCUGCCAACCACCGGCCCUCAGCAGUCCCUAUAUCCUCAAAUCCGCCCCAUCCCCCACUUGGCUAUACUGGAAGUGGGCACGCUUCUGUUACCCAAAUCCCAUCCUUCCAGCCUGAUAGGAAGGAACGCCCUGGCAGUGCUGUCUGGUCCUAGCCACAGUGACCCAGAGGCCAGGUGUCGGGGGCUGGGGCCGGUGAGGGCUCUGAGGGGCCGCCCAGUGCUCAGGAGCCAGGGCUCUGCUGCUACUGGGGCCUGAGUGGGGCUGCAGCCCCAGCCUUGGCACCUGGAACAAGGGACAGCCACACAUGUGCCUGUCUGAGUCUGGGGCAGGGCUUAUGCAGGCCGGGCCCGGCCCUUGGCGGGUGUUCAGGGCCUGAUACUACCACCCUUAGGAGUGGGGCAGGCACCGGGCAGGUUUGUGAGAACUGCACCCACAUUUCCGCCACAGCUGGAAGAGGACGUGCCAACCGGAGUCCCACCAGGGGCGGGGAUGGAGCCCUGGACACUGCGGAGGCUGAGCCUCAGUAUUCCCCAUGCCCCAGAGCUGUGCUGUCCCCCAGGCUGGGAGCUGGGGCAGAAGUCAACUCCAGCCUACAUGGGCCCAGCAGCUACCUCCAGAUGCCCCAAAACAGGUGCAAAGGGAUACCCAGCUGCUCAUGAAAAUGAAUCCCAGAUGGAGACAAAGAGCCCUGCCUGGCCCUGGCCUGGCGUGGCCGGAUGUCCCUUUCCACCUUCCUGCUCACAGAGGAGGCUGGGCUUCUGAGGCCUGAGGGGCCAGGCAGGAAGCCAUGGGCCACAAGGCACCCCUGGGCCCCCGCUCCCCGACUUCCUGCAUGGUAGAAGGCCCGUCCCGGGGCCAACUGCCUCUGCCACCACUGCCUGGAUGAGUGAGGGCAGGAGGUGGAAGGGAACCAUUUAGUGCCGAUUUAACUAUUAUUACCAAAUCAUCAGGAUUGAUGCAGUGCGCACACGCACGCGCCAAUCGUGUUUGGAGGAGCUCGGAGGAUUUAUGCAAAUGGGCCUGCCGGGAGAGGCAAUUUGUAGCCGAGAAGGACAAUUAUACCAGGCCCGGGAGUGCGCCAACGACUGCGCCGGGCGGGUAAUGGAUAAUAACAUCGCGCCGGCAGCCGUGAGCAGCUCCACAGCGUG
Homo sapiens (human) is the source of this 1968-nucleotide long non-coding RNA. RefSeq lists it as uncharacterized. The record is from RefSeq and is a predicted model, not a curated record. Lineage: Eukaryota; Metazoa; Chordata; Mammalia; Primates; Hominidae. The transcript has 6 exons.